UGCGAGUCAUUGUAGCAAUACAAGGCAGACGGCUCAGUAACGCGUAGUCAAUCUACCCUAUGGACGGGAAUAACCUCGGGAAACUGAGAAUAAUGCCCGACAGAACAUUAUACCUGGAACGGUUUAUGUUUCAAAUGAUUUAUCGCCGUAGGAUGGGACUGCGGCCUAUCAGUUUGUUGGUGAGGUAAUGGCCCACCAAGACUAUUACAGGUACGGGCUCUGAGAGGAGUAGCCCGGAGAUGGGUACUGAGACACGGACCCAGGCCCUAUGGGGCGCAGCAGGCGAGAAAACUUUGCAAUGUGCGAAAGCACGACAAGGUUAAUCCGAGUGGUUUCUGCUAAAGAAACCUUUUGCUAGUCCUAGAAACACUAGUGAAUAAGGGGUGGGCAAGUUCUGGUGUCAGCCGCCGCGGUAAAACCAGCACCUCAAGUGGUCAGGAUGAUUAUUGGGCCUAAAGCAUCCGUAGCUCGUUUUGUAAGUUUUCGGUUAAAUCCAUACGCUUAACGUAUGGGCUGCCGGGAAUACUGCAUAACUAGGGAGUGGGAGAGGUAGACGGUACUCGGUAGGAAGGGGUAAAAUCCUUUGAUCUAUUGAUGACCACCUGUGGCGAAGGCGGUCUACCAGAACACGUUCGACGGUGAGGGAUGAAAGCUGGGGGAGCAAACCGGAUUAGAUACCCGGGUAGUCCCAGCUGUAAACUAUGCAAACUCAGUGAUGCAUUGGCUUGUGGCCAAUGCAGUGCUGCAGGGAAGCCGUUAAGUUUGCCGCCUGGGAAGUACGUACGCAAGUAUGAAACUUAAAGGAAUUGGCGGGGGAGCACCACAAGGGGUGAAGCCUGCGGU
RNAcentral lists this ribosomal RNA (843 nucleotides) under uncultured archaeon. Its description in RNAcentral is "bacterial SSU rRNA". It matches the Rfam family "Archaeal small subunit ribosomal RNA", at positions 52 to 901 of the family's 1478-position model. The record is from RNAcentral.